GGGAGUCAAGUCUCUUGGGCUUGCCCUCCGGUGCGGGUUGGCCUUUCCGUGUUUCCCACAGAAGGCACGUGGGCAACCCUUUUUUCCAGCAGUGCAGGUGACAGGCGGAUAGGGGAUGGGAGGCCAGCGCUGGAGGUCACGGGAAAUGAAGGCCAGGCCCGAAAGAUGAGGAUGCGAUUGGGGGCCUUUCCAGCCAGGGAGACGUCCAUCAUGCUUGAUCUUGCCUUUGGUGGUUGCUAAAGAAGUAGGGUUUCCGGCCACUCCACAAAUGUCCCCCACUGUCCUCAGGCUGUUUGACAGUGUUGGGACAACCACCGGCGGGUCACAGCCCUCUGCCUUUCAGGAAGCACAGAGGAGGACCCCCUGCUCCCAUCUCCAGGGAAGCCGACUGCAGAACUGGAUUCCCAGCUUCAGGUCUUACAAUGAAAUGUCCAGUAAGAUGGAUCACUUUUAUCCUGAGAAUUUGGAUGCCCCCGCACCAGUAUUUUGAACUGAUGGUACUUGACGCCCUGGUUGGUUGUGAAAUCAGACACGCACGUGUUAUCUUUUCUUAAAUAGAAGAACCGAAUAGAAAAUAGGUUGCUGGUAUUGGGCUGUUGCAGAUAGAAUUAGUCGAAGAUGAGAGGUGGCCUUCCAGUACGACCGGUGUCCUCGCAAGAGAAGAGACGCACGGACACAGGGCACACGGCCAUGUGCAGACAGAGGCAGAGCCUGAUGCGGCCACAGGCCAAGGACCCCCUGGGGCUCCCGGGGGCUGGGAGGGGCGAGGGAGGAUCUCCUGGAGACUUCCGAGAGAGGCCAGGUCUUUGGGCUUCUGGCCUCCAGACUGUGAGAGAAUGAAUCUGUAUUAGUUUAAGCUACCCAGUCUGUGCACUUGGUUACGGCCGUAGAAAACAAAUCCAUCGAUUAUCCUCACAUAAAGUUUCGUGCACA
Long non-coding RNA from Suricata suricatta (meerkat), 933 nucleotides. RefSeq lists it as uncharacterized. The record is from RefSeq and is a predicted model, not a curated record. NCBI's taxonomy places the organism in Eukaryota, Metazoa, Chordata, Mammalia, Carnivora, Herpestidae. The transcript is spliced from 3 exons.